RNAcentral lists this ribosomal RNA (434 nucleotides) under uncultured bacterium. Its description in RNAcentral is "partial 16S ribosomal RNA". It matches the Rfam family "Bacterial small subunit ribosomal RNA", at positions 29 to 507 of the family's 1533-position model. The record is from RNAcentral.
AGCGAACGCUGGCGGCAGGCCUAACACAUGCAAGUCGAACGAACCUUUCGGGGUUAGUGGCGGACGGGUGAGUAACACGUGGGAACGUGCCUUUAGGUUCGGAAUAACUCAGGGAAACUUGUGCUAAUACCGAAUGUGCCCUUCGGGGGAAAGAUUUAUCGCCUUUAGAGCGGCCCGCGUCUGAUUAGCUAGUUGGUUGAGGUAAUGGCUCACCAAGGCGACGAUCAGUAGCUGGUCUGAGAGGAUGAUCAGCCACAUUGGGACUGAGACACGGCCCAAACUCCUACGGGAGGCAGCAGUGGGGAAUCUUGCGCAAUGGGCGAAAGCCUGACGCUGCCAUGCCGCGUGAAUGAUGAAGGUCUUAGGAUUGUAAAAUUCUUUCACCGGGGACGAUAAUGACGGUACCCGGAGAAGAAGCCCCGGCUAACUUCGUG